RNAcentral lists this unclassified non-coding RNA (216 nucleotides) under Hevea brasiliensis (rubber tree). Lineage: Eukaryota; Viridiplantae; Streptophyta; Magnoliopsida; Malpighiales; Euphorbiaceae. The record is from RNAcentral.
GUUAAAAAAUGAAACAAGUUGACCCUAUUUGUAAAUUUUCACAAGUUACCAUCAAGGAUAUUUCCAUGCAUUGCAUUCUAAAAUAGGAUUCGAUAAGCAAGGUCUUCUUCAACAGGCAAUUUGAAUUAAGGAUAGCUUUAGCAUCAAAAGUGAGAGAGAAACUGUUUUGAACCGAGCCUUUGUUUUUUAUCAUUUAUUUCAUUUACUUGGUUUUUU